Molecule: RNA transcript, 2474 nt
Organism: Macaca mulatta (Rhesus monkey)
Lineage: Eukaryota; Metazoa; Chordata; Mammalia; Primates; Cercopithecidae
Gene: SLX9
Gene name: SLX9 ribosome biogenesis factor
Source: RefSeq, a predicted model, not a curated record
UUCCGGCGCCCGCCCGGAUCCCGGCAGCCGCCGCUCCUGUUUCCGUCGGACGGCGAGAGCGCAGGACCAGCUUCCGGGAGGUGCUCCGCGCGUUCGCCGAUCUCUGCGGGGAAGAUGGGGAAAGUGAGGGGGCUGCGCGCCAGAGUGCACCAGGCUGCCGUGAGGCCCAAGGGGGAGGCCGCCCCCGGCCCCGCGCCCCCUGCUCCAGAGGCGGCCCCUCCGCCGUCCUCGGCCGCGGGGAAGGACUGGGCGUUCAUCAACACCAACAUCUUUGCCAGGACCAAGAUAGACCCCAGUGCCUUGGUGCAGAAGCUGGAGCUGGACGUGAGGAGUGUCACUUCUGUCAGGAGAGGUGCAGAGGCCAAGACCGUUUUGCCCAAGAAGGAGAAAAUGAAGCUAAGGCGUGAGCAGUGGUUGCAGAAAAUCGAAGCCAUAAAACUGGCUGAGCAGAAGCACAGGGAGGAGCGGAGGCGGAGGGCCACGGUGGUGGUGGGGGACCUGCACCCGCUCAGGGACGCCCUGCCCGAGCUGCUGGGGCUCAAGGCUAGCAGCCGACGCCAAGCCCACAGCAGGGAGAGCAACAAGCCCCGGCCCUCAGAGCUCAGCCGGAUGAGCACAGCCCAGAGACAGCAGCUUCUUGAAGAAGAAAGGACCCGGUUUCGGGAGCUGCUGGCUAGUCCGGCCUACAGAGCCAGACCCCUGGUGGCGAUCGGGCAGACGCUGGCCCGGCAGAUGCAGCUGGAAGGUGGCGGCCAGCUCUGACCAGGGCAGUGGGCGUGCCCCAACUCCUCAGGACACACGUGUGGGCCAGGUAGAGAGCGCCAGCCCCUCGAGGACCAUGAUCUGAGCCUGGUGGACGCCCUUCCUUCUGGGCUGGGCCCACCCUGGGACAGCUGCCCCUGCUCUGCUCAGUACGACAAGCCACAUCCCUCCGCUGGCAGCUGCGGCCCCCACGCUGAGUCAGGGCGGGCCGUGCACAGGGUUUGUGGGGACUGUAGUUGUGGAGGCCCUAAAUCCGUCCCUGAACUGGCACCGGUGCCCCCAAGCUAGCCCCCUGGGAGGGAAUUGUGCCUGGGUGUGGCCCCAACUGUGCCACCAGCCACCCUGAUUUGCUUCAGCCUCGGUUCCUGCUGCGGCCCUGGUGGGAUCCAGGAGCACUGAGGCCUGCAGGGGCUGCCAUGGGGGCUGGCUUGGGGCCCUCCCCACCUGGGGGUCUGUUUCCCUUCCAGUCUCCCUUGCCACCCUCAGUGACCAGGGACACAGAUGGCCCUGGCAAGGCCCCAGCCUGCUCUUUGCCUGUGUAUGCACCCCCUGGGCUGUGCCCCCAACCCCAACCAUUGCCCUCGCUCUUCCCAGCUGCUCCAAACCCAGGCAGCCCACUGCCUUGCUCUGGGGGCGGAGAGCAGAGGGUCCUUCUGCAGGGAGGAGACGCGGAGUGGGCCCAGCCCUGAAGCUCUUGCUGACCCAGAAGCAGGAGAGGGCCUCUUUUGUUGCUGGAAGCCCUGGUAUUUGAAGGUUUGUUGGACUGUGAAUCAGUGACUGAUCAGUCCUUGUUUUCAGGGUGUGGAAAGCAAGGGGGUGGUGCGUCCCCAGGCCCCUGAGGCCCAGCUGGGCUCCCCCUGCCCCUGCUCCCCCACCCCAGUGCUCUGUGGGACCUCGCUGGCCCAUGUCCUGCAGCAGGGCUGGGCAGGCUGGGCGUGGUGGUGUACCCCACUCGGGGUGUCUGGGAAGUACAGAGCAGGACCACUCUCAGCUCCCAGGCAGGGGCCCAGCACCCUUAGCCUUCCCAGGCUGCCUGGGGUGGGGGUAGUCCCAGGGGCUCCAGGGCAUGUGGGUGGCCCCUGUGUGCAUGGCCCUUCUUGUCGUGAGCGCCCGUGGUCCAACCUCCCCGGCCCUGCCGCCUGCUCAGGGUUCAGAGCCCCAGCAGCCCCACCAAAGGCUUCCUGGCGAGUGGGUGGCCGAGACGACUUGGAGCCUGCAUCCCUUCUGUUCAGUGUCCUGGCCCUUCCCUGACACGAGCAGACACGGCAUCCACAGACACAGCCUGGACACCCUCCGAGGCCCCGAUGAUGGGACAGACGGGCGUACAGGAGCCACAGGCAGCGGAUCCCACACUCCCUCGGGUGGGGCCGGCUUGGCUGCCCAGCCCCAGCCCCAGCUCCUUAGAGAACGGGCUUCUCGCUUCAGAGGAGCUGGUCACAAACCAGUGCUUGCAACAAAACCAUUUUUGUGGUAGAGCGAGUGCUGGGAACAACGUCUGUGGGAUGCAGGCAGGGCAGCGUGGUGGGGAGGCGGGCGGGGGCGGCUUCCACUUUCUCCAACAUCCUCAUCCCAUGGUCUGGGUUUCUUGUGAAAAAUCUGGCCGGGCGCAGUGACAUACACCUGCAGUCCCAGCACUUUGGGAGGCCAAGGCAGGUGUAUCACUUGAGGCCAGGAGUUCAAGACCAGCCAACAUAGUGAGACCCCAUCUCGAC